This 620-nucleotide ribosomal RNA is filed under the name uncultured Acetivibrio sp. RNAcentral describes it as "bacterial SSU rRNA". It matches the Rfam family "Bacterial small subunit ribosomal RNA", at positions 28 to 651 of the family's 1533-position model. The record is from RNAcentral. Lineage: Bacteria; Bacillati; Bacillota; Clostridia; Acetivibrionales; Acetivibrionaceae.
GAUGAACGCUGGCGGCGUGCCUAACACAUGCAAGUCGAGCGGAGAUCUAUGAAGUAGUAAUACGGAACAGAUCUUAGCGGCGGACGGGUGAGUAACACGUGAGGAACCUACCUUCAACUGGGGAAUAACACCGUGAAAACGGUGCUAAUACCGCAUAACGUUGCACCAUGGCAUCAUGGAGCAACCAAAGGAGCAAUCCGGUGGAAGAUGGCCUCGCGUCCGAUUAGUUAGUUGGUGGGGUAAUGGCCUACCAAGACAGCGAUCGGUAGCCGGACUGAGAGGUCGAACGGCCACAUUGGAACUGAGAAACGGUCCAGACUCCUACGGGAGGCAGCAGUGGGGAAUAUUGGGCAAUGGGCGAAAGCCUGACCCAGCAACGCCGCGUGAAGGAAGAAGGCCUUCGGGUUGUAAACUUCUUUGAUCGGGGACGAAAAAAAUGACGGUACCCGAAAAACAAGCCACGGCUAACUACGUGCCAGCAGCCGCGGUAAUACGUAGGUGGCGAGCGUUAUCCGGAUCUACUGGGUGUAAAGGGCGUGUAGGCGGUUUUUCAAGUCGGAUGUGAAAUUCCCAGGCUUAACCCUGGGCGCUGCAACCGAAACUGAGAAACUUGAGUACUG